CCUACGGGAGGCAGCAGUGGGGAAUAUUGGGCAAUGGGCGCAAGCCUGACCCAGCAACGCCGCGUGAAGGAAGAAGGCUUUCGGGUUGUAAACUUCUUUUAAGAGGGAAGAGCAGAAGACGGUACAUCUGGAAUAAGCCACGGCUAACGACGAGCCAGCAGACGCGGUAAUACGUAGGUGGCAAGCGUUGUGCGGAGUUACGGGGUGUAAAGGGCGGGAAGCCGGGAGGACAAGUCAGAUGUGAAAUCCCGCGGCUCAACCGCGGAACUGCAUUUGAAACUGUUUUUCUUGAGUACCGGAGAGUUCAUCGGCAUUCCUUGUGUAGCGGUGAACUGCUUAGUUAUUCGG
RNAcentral lists this ribosomal RNA (348 nucleotides) under uncultured bacterium. RNAcentral's name for it is "partial 16S ribosomal RNA". It matches the Rfam family "Bacterial small subunit ribosomal RNA", at positions 338 to 701 of the family's 1533-position model. The record is from RNAcentral.